GAUGAAGAACGUAGCGAAAUGCGAUAAGUAAUGUGAAUUGCAGAGUUCAGUGAAUCAUCGAAUCUUUGAACGCACAUUGCGGCCAUAGGUAUUCCUUUGGCCAUGCCUGUUCGAGCGUCAUUUACACCCUCAAGCCUAGCUUGGUGUUGGGCGUCUGUCCCGCCGUUCUCGCGCGCGGACUCGCCUCAAAGUCAUUGGCGGCGGUCGUGCCGGCCCCCUCGCGCAGCACAUUUGCGCUUCUCGGAGGCCCGGUGGAUCCGCGCUCCAGCAAGACCUUUCACGACUUGACCUCGGAUCAGGUAGGGAUACCCGCUGAACUUAAGCAUAUCAAUAAGCGGAGGA
RNAcentral lists this unclassified non-coding RNA (342 nucleotides) under soil metagenome. RNAcentral's name for it is "partial contains 5.8S ribosomal RNA, internal transcribed spacer 2, and large subunit ribosomal RNA". The stretch from base 1 to 120 matches the Rfam family "5.8S ribosomal RNA", at positions 35 to 154 of the family's 154-position model. The record is from RNAcentral.